AGUAGAUACAUUGUGCUGAAGAAAAUUGCUCAUGAAUACCAAAAAUUUGAAUGUAAACAGGAAGUGCUUUGUUCAUGUUGUUGGAGGCAUUAAUGGAUUGGAGAUAAAUAAUAAUUGUGAAGCUGGAAAUUCUUAAAUGCAUUCAGAGGGACAUCAGUUAAAAGAGUGAGUUCCAGCAACAUGUAUCUUCUAAAAUAUGUGUGAUCAGAUAUAGAAUUUUAUAGUUAUUAAUGGUUUUGGAGGAAAAUGAACAGAAAUUUGGGAAAAAGUUACAGAUUAUGUAUGCUGCGGAGAAAGAUGUCAUUCAGGCGAUCAACCAGAAAUAUGCUGAUGCCAGGUCAACGUUAGCAGCAUCGUGCAAAAAAACAAACUUAACAUUUAUGACAACGCACUGAAAAUUUGCUGUGUAUAUAGUUUUUACUAGAUAGCGUUAAAUUUUUUAGUGAAAUGACAUUGUUGAUAUUUAAUCAACUUCAUUUUUUUCUUUCUAAAAUGCUAUUUUAUGUGUAUAAACUGUUCUAUUUUUAGUAAGAAGAAACCUGAACAUUGUUAAUAUUAACUUUGUUCUUUUUUUUGUUAUU
Long non-coding RNA from Mercenaria mercenaria, 581 nucleotides. RefSeq lists it as uncharacterized. The transcript is spliced from 3 exons. Lineage: Eukaryota; Metazoa; Mollusca; Bivalvia; Venerida; Veneridae. The record is from RefSeq and is a predicted model, not a curated record.